CAAGACGUAGCUCAACUUAAAGCACCUGGCUUACACCCAGGAGAUGUCGUGCAACGAUCGUUUUGA
This 66-nucleotide transfer RNA is filed under the name Tupaia glis (common tree shrew). RNAcentral's name for it is "tRNA-Val". It matches the Rfam family "tRNA". Rfam says of the family: Transfer RNA (tRNA) molecules are approximately 80 nucleotides in length. Their secondary structure includes four short double-helical elements and three loops (D, anti-codon, and T loops). Further hydrogen bonds mediate the characteristic L-shaped molecular structure. tRNAs have two regions of fundamental functional importance: the anti-codon, which is responsible for specific mRNA codon recognition, and the 3' end, to which the tRNAs corresponding amino acid is attached (by aminoacyl-tRNA synthetases). tRNAs cope with the degeneracy of the genetic code in two manners: having more than one tRNA (with a specific anti-codon) for a particular amino acid; and 'wobble' base-pairing, i.e. permitting non-standard base-pairing at the 3rd anti-codon position. The record is from RNAcentral. Lineage: Eukaryota; Metazoa; Chordata; Mammalia; Scandentia; Tupaiidae.